GAUGAAGAACGUAGCGAAAUGCGAUAAGUAGUGUGAAUUGCAGAAUUCAGUGAAUCAUCGAAUCUUUGAACGCACAUUGCGCCCCUUGGUAUUCCAUGGGGCAUGCCUGUUCGAGCGUCAUUUGUACCCUCAAGCUAAGCUUGGUGUUGGGUGUUUGUCCACUCCCUCGUGUUUGGACUCGCCUUAAAACAAUUGGCAGCCAGUGUUUUGGUAUUGAAGCGCAGCACAAUUUGCGACUCUAGCCUAGAAUACUAGCAUCCAUCAAGUCAUUUUUAACGCUUGACCUCGGAUCAGGUAGGGAUACCCGCUGAACUUAAGCAUAUCAAUAAGCGGAGGA
Molecule: unclassified non-coding RNA, 337 nt
Filed under: soil metagenome
Description: partial contains 5.8S ribosomal RNA, internal transcribed spacer 2, and large subunit ribosomal RNA
Rfam family: 5.8S ribosomal RNA (bases 1-120)
Source: RNAcentral